GGAUAACCUACCCUUAGGACUGGGAUAACCCUGGGAAACUGGGGAUAAUACUGGAUAGGCAAUUAUUCCUGUAAUGGUUUUUUGUUUAAAUGUUUUUUCGCCUAAGGAUGGGUCUGCGGCCGAUUAGGUAGUUGGUUAGGUAAUGGCUUACCAAGCCUUUGAUCGGUACGGGUUGUGAGAGCAAGAGCCCGGAGAUGGAACCUGAGACAAGGUUCCAGGCCCUACGGGGUGCAGCAGGCGCGAAACCUCCGCAAUGUGAGAAAUCGCGACGGGGGGAUCCCAAGUGCCAUUCUUAACGGGAUGGCUUUUCAUUAGUGUAAAGAGCUUUUGGAAUAAGAGCUGGGCAAGACCGGUGCCAGCCGCCGCGGUAACACCGGCAGCUCUAGUGGUAGCAGUUUUUAUUGGGCCUAAAGCGUCCGUAGCCGGUUUAAUAAGUCUCUGGUGAAAUCCUGCAGCGUAACUGUGGGAAUUGCUGGAGAUACUAUUAGACUUGAGAUCGGGAGAGGUUAGAGGUACUCCCAGGGUAGAGGUGAAAUUCUGUAAUCCUGGGAGGACCGCCUGUUGCGAAGGCGUCUGACUGGAACGAUUCUGACGGUGAGGGACGAAAGCUAGGGGCGCGAACCGGAUUAGAUACCCGGGUAGUCCUAGCUGUAAACGAUGCGGACUUGGUGUUGGGGUGGCUUUGAGCUGUCCCAGUGCCGAAGGGAAGCUGUUAAGUCCGCCGCCUGGGAAGUACGGUCGCAAGACUGAAACUUAA
Molecule: ribosomal RNA, 757 nt
Filed under: uncultured archaeon
Lineage: Archaea
Description: bacterial SSU rRNA
Rfam family: Archaeal small subunit ribosomal RNA
Source: RNAcentral